GGUUAUAACAGGUGACGGGGAAUCAGGGUUCGAUUCCGGAGAGGGAGCCUGAGAAACGGCUGCCACAUCUAAGGAAGGCAGCAGGCGCGCAAAUUACCCACUCCCGGCACGGGGAGGUAGUGACGAAAAAUAACAAUACGGGACUCUACCGAGGCCUCGUAAUUGGAAUGAGUACAAUUUAAAAUCCUUAACGAGGAUCUAUUGGAGGGCAAGUCUGGUGCCAGCAGCCGCGGUAAUUCCAGCUCCAAUAGCGUAUAUUAAAGUUGUUGCGGUUAAAAAGCUCGUAGUUGGAUCUCAGUUCUGGGUGAGCACGGGUCCACCAUAGCAUUGGCGGACUGCUGACUUGCCCGGUGCAAAACCGCCCGGCUUCCCCCACGGUGCUCUUCACCGAGUGUCGUGGGUGGCCGACACGUUUACUUUGAGAAAACCAGAGUGCUUAAAGCAGGCGCAAGACGCCCGAAUGACUGUGCAUGGAAUAAUGGAAGAGGAUCUCGCUUCUGUCUUUGUUGGUUCCUCGGAAGGCGAGAUAAUGAUUAAUAGAAGCAGUCGGGGGCAUUCGUAUUGCGACGUUAGAGGUGAAAUUC
RNAcentral lists this ribosomal RNA (584 nucleotides) under Postasterope barnesi. RNAcentral's name for it is "SSU rRNA". It matches the Rfam family "Eukaryotic small subunit ribosomal RNA", at positions 348 to 919 of the family's 1831-position model. Lineage: Eukaryota; Metazoa; Arthropoda; Ostracoda; Myodocopida; Cylindroleberididae. The record is from RNAcentral.